GAUGAAGAACGCAGUGAAAUGCGAUAAGUAAUGUGAAUUGCAGAAUUCAGUGAAUCAUCGAAUCUUUGAACGCACCUUGCACCCUUUGGUAUUCCGAAGGGUAUGCUCGUUUGAGUGUCAUUGUACUCUCACACUUCUAAUUCCUUUCGGGAUUGGGAGCGGUGGACUUGGGUGUUGCUGCUUUAGUUGUGGCUCACCUCAAAUAAGUUAGUGCAACUCUUGGUUGGACAUAGUACGGCGUGAUAAGUGUCUUCGCCGGCGCCUCUGUAAGGAGGGUGGCCGAUCGGGAGCUCUGUGCUUCAAACCGUCUUCGGACAAUCUUUGACAACUUGACCUCAAAUCGAGUAGGACUACCCGCUGAACUUAAGCAUAUCAAUAAGCGGAGGA
Molecule: unclassified non-coding RNA, 387 nt
Filed under: soil metagenome
Description: partial contains 5.8S ribosomal RNA, internal transcribed spacer 2, and large subunit ribosomal RNA
Rfam family: 5.8S ribosomal RNA (bases 1-120)
Source: RNAcentral